Molecule: long non-coding RNA, 341 nt
Organism: Armigeres subalbatus
Lineage: Eukaryota; Metazoa; Arthropoda; Insecta; Diptera; Culicidae
Exons: 3
Source: RefSeq, a predicted model, not a curated record
AAACAAUCUUGGUAUAGCAUCUCAAAUUUUAAUUCUUUCAACACCUUUUAUGUUUUUUUUUCAAUAAUUUGUGCUAUUUUAAUCAAUCGAUGGCAUGUAUAUUCAAUUAUGCUUUCCGGAGGAUGUGGAAAAUGGAUAGAGCGCUGGAGUGUUGAGAAAUGACGGAUGUGUACGAUUAGGCCAGCGCCUACCGGUUUAAACAAUUAUCAACUUCGAAGCGGAAACUCAUCAAACAAUUUUUUUCGAGACUAGGCCGUUCCUCGGUGGGUACAUCGGUUGGAGAUCAUCAAUGAACACUUCGGGUCUGGACGAAUCAAGCUUAAAUAUUAUUUCCGAAAAAG